AGGUGCGAUCAUACCAGCACUAAUGCACCGGAUCCCAUCAGAACUCCGCAGUUAAGCGUGCUUGGGCGAGAGUAGUACUAGGAUGGGUGACCUCCUGGGAAGUCCUCGUGUUGCACCUCUUUUUUCACGGGAGGUAGCAUUAACGGACUCG
This 151-nucleotide small RNA is filed under the name Lupinus albus (white lupine). Lineage: Eukaryota; Viridiplantae; Streptophyta; Magnoliopsida; Fabales; Fabaceae. The record is from RNAcentral.